UACGUAGGGUGCGAGCGUUAAUCGGAAUUACUGGGCGUAAAGAGCGCGCAGGCGGCUGGUCAAGUCCGAUGUGAAAGCUCCCGGCUUAACUGGGAAAUUGCAUCGGAAACUGAUCGGCUGGAAGGUGGGAGAGGGUAGCGGAAUUCCCGGUGUAGUGGUGAAAUGCGUAGAGAUCGGGAGGAAUGCCAGUGGCGAAAGCGGCUCUCUGGUCCUAAACUGACGCUGAGGGGCGAAAGCGUGGGGAGCGAACGGG
This 253-nucleotide ribosomal RNA is filed under the name uncultured bacterium. RNAcentral describes it as "partial 16S ribosomal RNA". It matches the Rfam family "Bacterial small subunit ribosomal RNA", at positions 524 to 776 of the family's 1533-position model. The record is from RNAcentral.